UCUCCGUAGGUGAAUCUGCGGAGGGAUCAUUACUGAGUGAGGGCUCACGCCCGACCUCCAACCCUUUGUGAACACAUCUUGUUGCUUCGGGGUCGACCCUGCCGGCACUCGGUCGCCGGGCGCCCCCGAAGGUCUCCAAACACUGCAUCUGUGCGUCGGAGUUUAAAACAAAUUAAACAAAACUUUCAACAACGGAUCUCUUGGUUUUGGCAUCGAUGAAGAACGCAGC
This 229-nucleotide unclassified non-coding RNA is filed under the name uncultured fungus. RNAcentral's name for it is "sequence contains ITS1, 5.8S rRNA gene". The stretch from base 181 to 229 matches the Rfam family "5.8S ribosomal RNA", at positions 1 to 49 of the family's 154-position model. The record is from RNAcentral. Lineage: Eukaryota; Fungi.